Molecule: ribosomal RNA, 253 nt
Filed under: uncultured bacterium
Lineage: Bacteria
Description: partial 16S ribosomal RNA
Rfam family: Bacterial small subunit ribosomal RNA
Source: RNAcentral
UACGUAGGGGGCAAGCGUUGUCCGGAAUCAUUGGGCGUAAAGCGCGUGUAGGCGGCCCGAUAAGUCCGCUGUGAAAGGCCAGGGCUCAACCCUGGGAUGCCGGUGGAUACUGUCGGGCUCGAGUCCGGAAGAGGCGAGUGGAAUUCCUGGUGUAGCGGUGAAAUGCGCAGAUAUCAGGAAGAACACCCGUGGCGAAGGCGGCUCUCUGGGACGGUACUGACGCUGAGACGCGAAAGCGUGGGGAGCGAACAGG